UCCUUUUUUUUUUUUUUUUUUUUUCCAGUCAGAGUUUCCCUCUUGUUGCCCAGGCUGGAGUGCAAUGGCAUGAUUUUGGCUAACUGCAACCUACACCUCCCGAGUUAAAGUGAUUCUCCUGCCUCAGCCUCCUGAGUAGCGGGGAUUACAGGCACCUGCCACCACACCCGGCUAGUUUUUGUGUUUUUAGUAGAGAUGAGUUUCACCAUGUUGACCUGGCUGGUCUUGAACUUCUGACCUCAGGUGAUCUGCCCACCUCAGCCUCCCAAAGUGCUGGGAUUACAGGCAAGAGCCACCACUCCUUGCCAUCCCUCAUGUUUCUUAUUGAGACCCUGUAAUCACUUGCUAUACCCAUUCUCUGUCUGUGACACUGAAGUCUUUCUUCUCUUGUAACAGUCAUUUACCUUUGGUCUCCGCUGUCCGAAACUGUCGAAGUAUACCACCUUUCCUUUCAACACUGUCAUGGAAUACAGAAAUUAGUCUUUGCUUGCUGUUUUCAUUUUACUGUGGAGGUAUUGCCAGAGCAUGACAUAAAAGAUUCAUUUCAAAAGGUGAUUCUUAGAAAAUAUGGAAGCAGCGACCUUAAUACUUUACAUUUAAAGAAAGACUACCAAAGUGUGGGUAAUUGCAAGGGGCAGAAAAGCAGUUACAAUGGCCUUCAUCAAUGUUUGUCAACUACCCGUAGCAAAACCUGUCAAUGUAAUAAAUGUGGUAAAGCUUUUGGGUUGUGCUCAAUCUUCACUGAACAUAAGGAAAUUUUUAGCAAAGAGAAAUGCUACAAAUGUAAAGAAUGUGGCAAAGACUGUAGGUUGUUCUCAGAUUUUACUGUACAGAAGAGAAUCCAUACUGCAGAGAGAUGCUACAAAUGUGAAGAUUGUGCCAAAGUUUUUGAAAAGUUCUCAAACCUUACUGAACAUAAUAGAGUUCAUACUGGAGAGAAACCCUACAAAUGUGAAGAAUGUGGCAAAACCUUUACCUGUUCCUCAACCCUUAUUAAACACAAGAGAAAUCAUGCUGGAGACAGACCCUGCAAAUGUGAAGAAUGUAACAAAGCAUAGAGGUGGUUCUCACACCUUGCUAAACAUAAGAGAAUUCAUACUGGAGAGAAAUCCUACAAAUGUAAUGAAUGUGGAAAAGCUUUUACAUGGAUCUCGGUCCUUACUCAUCAUAAGAAAAUUCAUACUAGAGAGAAACCCUACAUCUGUGAAGGAUGUGGCAAAGCCUUUACCCGCUCCUCAACCCUGAUUAGCCACAAGAGAACUCAUAUGGAAGAGAGACCCUACAAAUGUGAAGAAUGUAACAAAGCCUACAAGUGGUUCUCAAACCUUGCUUGAUGUAAGAUAAUGCAUACUGGACAGAAACCCUACAAAUGUAAUGAAUGUGGAAAAGCUUUUACGUGGAUCUUUUCCCUUAGUCAACAUAAGAGAAUUCAUACUGGAGAGAAACCCUACAAACGUAAUGAAUGUGGAAAGGCUUUUACGUGUAUCUUGGCCCUUAGUCAACAUAAAGUAAUUCAUAUUGGAGAGAAACCCUACAUCUGUGAAGAAUGUGGCAAAGCCUUUACCUGCUCCUCAACCCUUACUAACCACAAGAGAAUUCAUAUGGAAGAGAGACCUUACAAAUGUGAAGAAUGCAGCAAAACCUUUACGUGCUUCUCAGACCUCACUAAUCAUAAGUCACACUGGAGAGAAACCCUACAAAUGAGAAGAAUGUGGCAAAGCAUCGAGCUCGUUCUCACACUUCAUUAGACAUAAGAGAAUUCAUACUAGAGAGAAGCUCCACAAGUGUUAAAAAUGUGGAGAAGCCUUUAACAAGUCGUCAUAUUGUGUUCAACAUCAGAGACAAUACGGAACAAAUACAGUAUAAAUUUAAUGACUGUUGAAGAACAUUCAACAUCUUGGAGGGUCUCUAAGAACUUGCUUCAUAAUCUGGGUGCUUUUGUGUUGGGCGCAUAUAUAGCCCUUUACUAUUAUGUAAUGCCCUUGUAUUUUUUUGUUUUUUUAAAUCUGUGUUGAUUUAAAGUUUCUUUUUCCAGAAACUAGGAUUGCAAUCCCUGCUCUUCUUCUGUUUUCUAUUUGCUUGGUAGAUUUUUCUUUUUCCCUGUAUUUUGAGCUUAUUUGAGAAGGGUGUCUCGAUUACAGCAUACCGUUAGAUCUUGAUUCUUUAUUCAGCUUGCUACUCUAUUUUUUAAUUGGAGCAUUUAGCCCAUUUGCAUUUAGGGUUAAUAUUCAUAUGUGUGGAUUUGAUUCUGUCAGUAUGAUCUUAGCUGGCUGUUUUGCACAUUUUUUUAUGUGGUGGCUUUAUCGUGUCAGCAGUUUGUGUACUUCAGUAUGUUUUUGUAGUGACUGGUAAUCAUCUUUUUCUUGUUUAGUGCCUUCUUCAAGAGCUCUUGUAAGGCAGGUCUUGUGGUAACAGAUUUCCUCAGCAUUUGGUUUUCUGAAUAGGAUCAUAUUUAUUUUUUGCUUCUGAAGGUUACUUUGGCCGGAUAUGAACUUCUGAGUUAGAAUUAUUUUUUAAGAAUGUUGAGUAUUGGCCCUUAAUCUCUUCUGACUUGUAGGAUUUCGGUUGAAAGCUUUGUUGUUUGUCUGAUGGGCUUCUUUUUAGAAGUGACCUGGUCUUUCUCUCUAGCUGCCUUUAACAUAUUUUUUCUUUGAUUUUGACCUUGAAGAAUCUCAUGAUUAUGUAUCUUGGGGAUGACCACCUCAUGCGGUAUCUCACUGGGGUUCUCUACAUUUUCUGCCUUUGAAAUGUUGGCCUCUGUAUCUAGGUUAGGGAAGUUCUCAUGGAUGUUAUCCUGAAAUAUGUGUUUCAAGUUGUUUUCUUACUCCUAUUGCUUUCAGGCACUCUCUUUAAUCAUAGAUUUGGUUUCUUCACAGGUUUCUUUACAUAAUCCCAUAUUUCUCAGAGGUUUUGUUCAUUCUGCUUUAUUCUUUCUUCAGUAUUCUUGUCUGUCUUGUUUCAGAAAGCCAGUCUUGAGGCUCUUGAGAUUCUUCCCUCUGCCUGGUGUAUUCUUCUAUUAAUACUUGUGGUUACAUUAUAAAGGUUUUGUAUUGUGUUUUUCAGCUCUAUUAGUUUGGCCAUAUUUUUCUCUAGACUGGUUGUUUUUUUCCGUCAGUUCCUGCAAUUUUGUCCUUCCUUGCAUUUGUCCUUCCUUGCAACUUACUUUUGUAGCUCAGUGAAGUUUGUCUCUAUCCAUAUUCUGAAUUUUGCUUCUGUCAUUAAGCUUAGGCCAUACUGGAAAUGUAAUUUGGUCAUUUGGAUGAAAGAAGUCACUCUGGCUUUUUGUGUUUUCAACAUUUUUGCACUAAUUUUCUCUCAUCUCUGUGGGCAUAUCUUUGAAGUUGCUGAACCUUAAAUGGGGUUUUGGAUUUUUGGAUCCUAUUUGAUGGUCUUGAGUAUUUGAUUGUGGUAAAAGGUGGAUUCAGCCAACAAGCUUUGUUCCUGGGAGAUUUUUUUUUUUUUUUUUGGUGACGGAGAGGAGGUAAUGCUCAGCUCACAACUCAAGAGUCUGUAUACUCUAACUCUGGGGGACUUGUAUUGAGCCCCAACUGUGUUCUGUGGCUCCUUGUGAUUUGGAGUCCACCACUCUAUGGGACUAACGUGCCACAGCUGUAGCAGAGUGCUAGUGGAUAUGGGGUUUCUGCCUGUCUUUGGGUAUUCACCUCAGUGGCAGGAGCAAAGCUGCUGGCGGGGGAGUAGGGGCUACCUGCUGGAGACUGUGUGCUGUUGCACUAAAGGUAGUGUUGGCUUGGGGCAGGAUACUGGCCAGUGAAGGUUUUGAUGCCUUCUCUGUGUCCCCCAAGAAGGAGUGAUUGUUCAGAGUGUGGGAGGAUACCCUGUUCUCCCCACAGUGUUACCAGAAAGGCCAGGGUGGGGCUUUCUGGCUGUCUACCCACCAAAGCUUCAUCUACAAUGGCAAUUGCUUGGGGGUGGCAGGGUCAUACUGCAUUUCCAUUUGAUGGUGGAGCAAGCAAAGCCAAACUCACCUUUGCAGGCAUAUGCCAGCAAAGUAAUUUGGGGAGUUGUCAUGGUCUCAGGGGAAGCUGUAGUAUGGGGAAGAAACAUGUGGGCUGGUCCAUUCAUAGACGCUGCCUUGCUGGAGCUCUUCAUGGGUCAGGCAUGGCCCACCAGUGCAUAUGCUCUGAUAUGGGCUCCUAAUGUACCUGAGACUGCCCUGUAAGCAGCUGUGGUCAGACUAGGUCCCUGGGAGAGGCCAGCAGACCAAGGAGUGCUCAGUUGGACCAGCUUCUUCUGAUUUGCAAGACCAUCCUGCAGAAAUUAGGUCCAACAGUUCCCCUAAGGAUAAAGUCUCUUAUGGGAGAAAGUUGAGCCUAGAGAAAUGGCCAUCAAUGGCCACACUUUAUUACAGAUGCUCUUGAGCUCAACCCUCUGGGCACCACAUGAGCUGGCUUGCUGCCCCACCUCUUUGCUUGUCUUCUGGGGGCUGCAUCUCAGAGACGUUUAGGCCAGUAAUCACUCAGUGCAGUCUGCCCAGGAUGGAGGAUCUGUGCUUUUGGCCAAGUUAGUUGUUCACUGUCUGGUGAUAAGCAGUGUGUAGUUUGUGGGACCCAUGGAGGAUGGACUGGCCUCCUCUCCUUGGGUAAACUGCAGCUUGUUUGAGGUGUGAAUAAGGCACUUAGGGUUUUGGAUUUUUCAUUAGUCUGAGAGUAGCAAGGACAGUUCUACUGCAGAAGCAGAGGCAGAAAUAUUUUCAGUUGCACCUGGAGGCUCUGGCCAGGGAGUUUCUAAGUUGCUACUGGCUGAAUAGCUCUGGAAGAAAUUGGCUAGUGGCCCAGGCCUGGAGAACCUGACCAGUGAGAAUAUAUGAGAAAAGGCACUCACGUAACAGUCUGGCCACUUUACUGAAGGGCUGCUGCAGUAUGCUGGGUGUCCACUGCAGUUUCUAGUCACCUCAGAUUUUCCAGCAUCUGACUUUUAACACUGCUGAAUGCUGCAAAACAGCAACAAUGACAACAUGCCCUUUUCUCUAAGGGCUCCAUCCCAGGGAGGUACAGGCCUGUUUCCAGCCCCAAAGCACCUGUAGAAGGUACCUGGAAACCCCUGUUGAAAAGUCUUAGCCAGUGAGGAGAACAUGAUUGGGGACCCACCUAAGAAAGUAGUGUAGGCUGGGUGCAGUACCUAGCACUUUGUGAGGCCAAGGUAGGUGGAUUGCCUGAGCUCAGGAGUUCUAGACUAGCCUGGGCAACCUGGUGAAAUCCUGUCUCUACUAAAAUACAAAAGAAGAAAAUUAGCUGGGUGUGGUGGCGUGCACCUGUAAUCUUAUCUACUCGGGAGGCUGAGGCAGGAGAAUUGCUUGAACCCAGGAGGCAGAGGUUUCAGUGAGCCAAGACUGUGCCACUUCAUUCCAGCCUGGCGACAGUGGGACUCUGUCCCAAAAAAAAAGCAGUCUAGCCACAUUUUUAUAGGAUAGCUCUGCUGUGCUGAAGUACCACUUCCACCCCCAGUUUAUUUGGACUCUCCAAAGCCAGAAGGCUGGAACAGCUAAGUCACACAAACAGCAAAAAUGGCAGCUCACUCUUCCCUCUAGGAACUGUAUCCCAAAGAGGAUUCAAAACUCCGUUGAUCAAAGAGCACCAGUGGUGGUAGCUGGAGACCCUGGUUGGGAAGCAGUUUGCAGUUAGGAGGAACUAGGUUGGGGACCUGCUUUAACAGAUAGUCUGGCCAUGUCUUUUUAGAGCACCUGUACUGUGCUAGGAGAUGCUUUCUGCCCCCAGUCAGCUUGGGCUCUUCAAAGCAUGAAGGCUGGAAUGGCUAAGUUGCCCAAGAAGCAAAGAUGAUGGCCCAUUCCUCUUUCUGGUAGCUCCAUCCCUGGGGGUGCAGUGCUGCUACCAGUGGUUGGCUGUAAUUCUAAGCCAGUAGGUGUUACCCUGUGAGGCACUGUGGAAGUGGGUCCUACGGACCAUCACUGCUCAGCCACUUGGGUCCCGCCUCUUUCCCAUGGGUAUGUACAGAGGUGUAAUGUCCUACUUUGCUGGAGUUGCAGCUACUUUUUCUGGGAAGCCUGGAAAGCCAGAGUAUCUAAGACUCUUGAAUCUCUAUGCAGGCCUCAGUGGCUGCUCUGCUGAGACUCCGUGUAGCUCUGUGUGUUAAACUGAAGGCCUUGGUGAAGUGGGUUCAUGAGGGUAUCUCCUCACCUGAAGGUUGCAAAGGUCUGUGGGAGAAUCAUGGGUUUCUAGGGUCACACAUGCACUCACUGCCUUACUGGGUGGGGAGGUUCCCUUGGCUCCAUGUUGUUCCUGGGUGGCCCAUUGUCCUGCCUUGCUUUACUCCAUUCUCUGUAAGUUAAGUUGUUUCUUUCAUUAGUUCCAAUGCAAGUACCUGGAUGUUUGAGUUGAAGGUGCUGUAUCUACACACACCUUGCAUUCCUCUCUAUGAAGCUACACAGUCUAGCUCCUUCUACUUUUUUAUUUUAAAAGAAUUUAAUAUAUUUUCAAAAGCAAGUAUUCAUAUAAUUUAACUCUUACAUUUGAUGCUAUGUCUUCAUUCUAGAAUUUAUGUGAAAGAACAUGGUCAAUGGUUGCUGCACCAGAGUUAGGAGAAGUUCUUCCAUAUUAGAUAAAAAGAUUUAUAUACUUUCCCAUGGAAGAUUAAGGAAACUGAAAUCUAAGAUACAUGAAGAAAUUCUAAGUGGAAAGGCCACUUAGUGGUUGGCUUACAGCAGUAUUAUAAGUGACAGGGUGAUAGAAGUGUGGUAAGUGAUUAGGAUAAUAUUCUGCAUAGUAAGAGAAACAAUUUGAAUUUUAGGAGAAAAUUGCUUCACCAUUUGCAAACUAAGGUAAUUAAAAUACAGUGAAUUUCAAAAUGCCUUUUUAAUGACAAUGUGUGAACUUGUUUUAAUAAACCAAAAUUGUUGUUAUUGAGUUAAGGCUAUUUUACACUGAAUGUGUAUCUUGCCACGGAUGUUAACUUAUCUCAUCUUACCCAAGGUUGUAGGUCAACAGAUGGUAACAAUAUACUAUUGUGUGACUGUGGAAUAACAUCUCUAGUGAUUUCUUUGUCAGUGGUCUUUAACUUAACAUAAUUUGGAGAAUAUGAUUCCUACAAAUUAACAUUUUUGUUUUUCUUGUAACUACAGGUUAUUAUGAUGGUUGUAAUGAAGAUUAUAUGAGUAUAAUGGAGCUGUAUGUUUCUGAAUUCUGAACAACUAGUUACAAAAUAUUCUACUUUUUUCUGUUGAACAUGUGACGUAUCUGGUCUGCUAAACACAUACAGACCUUUAGUUUUGAUAUAUAUGGAUUUAAAUAUACAGACGGGUAACUGUAAAAUAAACUUUAGUUGUAACAGAUUUAUAGAGAAAGUAAUCAUUUGUUUAUGUUUGUAUACCUAUUUUGAAAAGAAAAGAAAAAUAUUAGAAUGAAACAUAAUUUUACAAGUGUUGAUAUCUUACCAGCAAACCAGAAAUUUCAAAGAUUUUGAAAGCAAAUCUAUUUUCUCUGCUUUGUAUUAAAUUCAUUUAUCUAAAAUGUUAUUGCUUCUGGCUUAGAAUUAUUUUGUGCAAAUUCUUUUUCUUUUUUUGGUUUGUCUGUUUGCCUGUUGCUCACCAUAGACAUAAUGUAUACUUUUCUGUUCAUCUAAUUUCAUAAAACAUUCUUUGUAUAAUCCCCUCAGAGAUUAUGACAGUGACUGAUAAAAUUUAAUGGUGUUCACAGAAUAAUUUUCACAUGUGAGUAAUUUCACACUGAGUUUAUUAUUGUGUUAUUUAUUCAGUACAUUUUCUGUUUUGUUUAGAGAAUGCUAUUUAAUCCAAUUUUCAUUUAGUUAUUGAUUAUUUUACUUUAUAAAAUUGAUAUACUUUAUUAAAUAUAUUGGGUCAAUUUA
Molecule: long non-coding RNA, 7839 nt
Organism: Gorilla gorilla gorilla (western lowland gorilla)
Lineage: Eukaryota; Metazoa; Chordata; Mammalia; Primates; Hominidae
Exons: 2
Source: RefSeq, a predicted model, not a curated record